UACGUAGGGUGCAAGCGUUGUCCGGAAUUAUUGGGCGUAAAGAGCUCGUAGGCGGUUUGUCGCGUCUGCUGUGAAAACUCAGGGCUUAACUCUGAGCUUGCAGUGGGUACGGGCAGACUAGAGUGCGGUAGGGGAGACUGGAAUUCCUGGUGUAGCGGUGAAAUGCGCAGAUAUCAGGAAGAACACCCGUGGCGAAGGCGGUUCUCUGGGACGGUACUGACGCUGAGACGCGAAAGCGUGGGGAGCGAACAGG
RNAcentral lists this ribosomal RNA (253 nucleotides) under uncultured bacterium. Its description in RNAcentral is "partial 16S ribosomal RNA". It matches the Rfam family "Bacterial small subunit ribosomal RNA", at positions 524 to 776 of the family's 1533-position model. The record is from RNAcentral.